RNAcentral lists this ribosomal RNA (434 nucleotides) under uncultured bacterium. Its description in RNAcentral is "partial 16S ribosomal RNA". It matches the Rfam family "Bacterial small subunit ribosomal RNA", at positions 29 to 507 of the family's 1533-position model. The record is from RNAcentral.
AGCGAACGCUGGCGGCAGGCCUAACACAUGCAAGUCGAACGAACCUUUCGGGGUUAGUGGCGGACGGGUGAGUAACACGUGGGAACGUGCCUUUAGGUUCGGAAUAACUCAGGGAAACUUGUGCUAAUACCGAAUGUGCCCUUCGGGGGAAAGAUUUAUCGCCUUUAGAGCGGCCCGCGUCUGAUUAGCUAGUUGGUUGAGGUAAUGGCUCACCAAGGCGACGAUCAGUAGCUGGUCGGAGAGGAGGAUCAGCCACAUUGGGACUGAGACACGGCCCAAACUCCUACGGGAGGCAGCAGUGGGGAAUCUUGGACAAUGGGCGAAAGCCUGACGCAGCCAUGCCGGGUGAGUGAGGAAGGUCUUAGGGUUGUAAAUUUCUUUCACCGGGGAGGAUAAUGACGGUACCGGGAGAAGAAGCCCCGGCUAACUCCGUG